RNAcentral lists this RNase P RNA (572 nucleotides) under Blastocatellia bacterium. Its description in RNAcentral is "RNase P RNA component class A". It matches the Rfam family "Bacterial RNase P class A". From Rfam's summary of the family: Ribonuclease P (RNase P) is a ubiquitous endoribonuclease, found in archaea, bacteria and eukarya as well as chloroplasts and mitochondria. Its best characterised activity is the generation of mature 5'-ends of tRNAs by cleaving the 5'-leader elements of precursor-tRNAs. The record is from RNAcentral. Lineage: Bacteria; Pseudomonadati; Acidobacteriota; Blastocatellia.
AGAGCAAGUCGGGUGAUCGCUGCUUCUCCGAUAAUUUCGAAUCUCAAAUUUGAGAUUUGAAAUACAGAGAAGGAGAGGAAAGUCCGAACACCAUAGGGCAGCGAGCCCGCUAACGGCGGGGCGUCCGAGCGAAUUCAGAUCUCAAACUUCAGACUUGAAAUUUCAGAUGAAGAAAGACUCGGACGACGACAAGUGCAACAGAGAACAGACCAGCCGGUGCGGUCAGAUUCUGAGAUCUCAAAUCUGAAACACAGGUGAUGGGUGAAACGGUGCGGCCCGCAAGGGCUAGUUUCAGAUCUGAGAUCUCAAAUCUCAGAUUUGAUUUGAGUAAGAGCGCACCGGCGCGCGUGGUGACAUGCGCGGCCAGGCAAACUCCUCGCGGUGCAAGACCAAAUAGGGAGGCGUAUUGAGAUCUCAGAUUUGAAAUUUGAGAUUUCAAAAUCGGGUUGCCCGCUCGAAGCCUCCGGGUAGGUUGCUUGAUCCAACUGGCAACGGUUGGGCUAGAGGAAUGAUCGCCAUCCCGAUGCGAAAUCAUCGGGAAACAGAAUUCGGCUUACAGGCUUGCUCUCAAA